RNAcentral lists this long non-coding RNA (343 nucleotides) under Capsicum annuum. Its description in RNAcentral is "long non-coding RNA (CANN_LNC001172)". The record is from RNAcentral. Lineage: Eukaryota; Viridiplantae; Streptophyta; Magnoliopsida; Solanales; Solanaceae.
GAUUUUAAAAGCAGUUCUUUCUUUAAUAAGGGCACCUUCUUCUUGAGAGAGGGGCCGUAAUAAAGGGAAGAACAGAUUUUGAUUUAAAAUCGUUGUGUUAAUUCCAUCAGAAUCACUAGUGUAAGGUCGAAUUUGGUUAAUAAAAGUUAUUCCUAGAAUGAUAUCUUCUGUGAUACCUUCAGUGAUGACGAAAUCAUUAACAAGACAAAUGCCAUUGUUACAGAUAUGGGCUUUGGAAAGCUUGUAAUCGAUUUGCAUCUUUUCUCCGGUGGCAGAGUAGAGACGAGAGGUGCUUUUGUGUAGAUAUUUAGUGGGUAUAAGACCCUUGAUGAUACAAUUGUUG